GAUGAAGAACGUAGUGAAAUGCGAUAAGUAAUGCGAAUUGCAGAAUUCAGUGAGUCAUCGAAUCUUUGAACGCACAUUGCGCCCGCCAGCACUCUGGCGGGCAUGCCUGUUCGAGCGUCAUUUCAACCAUCAAGCCCCAGGCUUGCGUUGGAGCCCUGCGGCUGCCGCAGCCUCCUAAAAGCAGUGGCGGGCUCGCUAUCACACCGAGUGCAGUAGAUUACUCUUCGCUCAGGGCGUGCAGCGGGUUCCGGCCGUGAAACCCCCUACUUUUAAAGGUUGACCUCGGAUCAGGUAGGAAUACCCGCUGAACUUAAGCAUAUCAAUAAGCGGAGGA
This 334-nucleotide unclassified non-coding RNA is filed under the name soil metagenome. RNAcentral describes it as "partial contains 5.8S ribosomal RNA, internal transcribed spacer 2, and large subunit ribosomal RNA". The stretch from base 1 to 120 matches the Rfam family "5.8S ribosomal RNA", at positions 35 to 154 of the family's 154-position model. The record is from RNAcentral.